UUUUUAAAUCAAUUUAUAAUUUUAUUUUUCUUGGUGUUGUGCUUUAUAAUGUUUGCAGAUCAAGCCCAUGAAACUUGUGGAUUAUAACUAUAAAAAUACACUUCACAGCACGCAGGGCACACAUGAUUAUUGGAUGUAUUUAAGCUCCGUCUGCGAUUUGUGAUUUAUAUUUUUCAUUUGCGCAAUUUACAAAGCGGUACAUCAUUGGUGCAAUUAAACUGCAGUAAACGUGGACGCGGACGGACGACGGAGAGAACAAGACGUUCUGCCACUUGGCUGGCUCUCGUAUAAUUUUUAUUAAGUCGUUCUGGGGAAUGCACCGCCGAGGCGAGUCGAGUCGAGCCGAGUCGAGUGCUGCAUGAAGGCUGAGGGCUGGCCCAUAAACCCACAUUUCUGGCGGGGGCUGCCCUCUCGCCUGCUCUGUAUGUUAACUACGCGGAGGGGAGCGGACCAGGAACUGGAACUGGAGUCAUAAAACACGGCUAUGGGCGACAGCGUCGAAGGAUUAAAAAAUGACUGCGUGACAAAGCAUUUUAUAAUCGUCAUCUGAUUCACUUAAAAACACAUUCAUCGCCGCCACCGCUGACUCGAUGUCGGAGUUCAGACCCGCCGUGAAGCCGUGAAGCGAUCCGUAUUUGGGCUCGGGCGAACCGCAAGGGCCAAAACAAGCCAUAAACCGCCGCAAUAAAAAUGUAUCAAAUUAAGGAAUAAAUUUCAUGUGCAUCAGCAACAGCAGCGCGUUCUUCUUUUUACAACUGUGACUCCGAGUGCUUCAGCUGCCGUCGAGUCUAACUUGAGCAGCAUUUCACUCAAUAGAUUGCGAGUGCCUGCCCCUCAACCCUCAACACUCAACACUCGACUUUGCCGCAUUCUCACUCAAUCGAACACAGUUUUUGGUGGCUCGACGGCACUUAGCUCAUUUAUGGCUUCUAUUUGGCUGAUUGCUUAUACUACGAAAGAUUGAGAGACUUUUACUGCUAAUACCAUCGUUAGAUUCCGACUCAGAAAGAACU
Long non-coding RNA from Drosophila arizonae, 1013 nucleotides. NCBI's taxonomy places the organism in Eukaryota, Metazoa, Arthropoda, Insecta, Diptera, Drosophilidae. The record is from RefSeq and is a predicted model, not a curated record.